UUAUUUAUUUUAUUAUAUUUAUUUUUUGUUUAUUUAAUUAUUUAAUAAAAAUAAUUUUAUUGAAUUUUGUCUUAGUAUAUUUUGUAGAAUUGAUUUUUUAAAUUAUAGUUUAUUGGUAAUGUAAUUGUUUUAUGAAAUAUUAUUUUAAAUUUUUAAAAGUAUAUUUUAUUUAUUGUACCUUUUGUAUCAGGGUUUAUCAAAAUUUUAGUAUUUAAUUUACUUGUCUCGAUUUGGGUUGAUUUAUAAAUAAUUUAUAGUUAAUGUAUCAUAAUUAUUAUUAAAUUAUUUAUGGAAAUGAAAUGUUAAUCGUUUCCCAAGAUAUCUAGUUUCUUAAGAAAAAUUUUAAUUUUUUAAAGUUAAUUGUUUUUAUUUAAUUUUUUAAUUAUAAAUAUUAACUUAUUUAUUCUUUAAGGGAUAAGCUUUGAAGUUAAUAACCUAUAAUUUGUUUUAUAAAAUAUAAUAGUAAGCUUUAAAUCAGCUAUCUUUAAGAUUACGUUUUAGUUCAUUAUUUUCUAUUUUGAUUUUAUAAUUAUUUUAGGUUUUUUAUUAAGAUUAUUUAUUUAAUUUUAAAAUUUUUGUAAUAAUGAUAGAAUUAGUAUAUUUACUUGUAUAUAAUUUUUACCUUGUGAAUUUAUAAUAAGGAAUUAGGCAAAAUUGAUUUCCSCCUGUUUAUCAAAAACAUGUCCUCUUGAAAAUACUUUGAGGUCUGGCCUGCUCACUGAGCGGAUUUUUAAAGAGCCGCGGUAUUUUGACCGUGCAAAGGUAGCAUAAUCAUUAGUCUCUUAAUUAGUGGCUGGAAUGAAUGGCUUGACGAGAAAUCAACUGUCUCUUAAUAAAUUUUUGAAUUAAC
RNAcentral lists this ribosomal RNA (850 nucleotides) under Schistocerca lineata (birdwing grasshopper). RNAcentral describes it as "partial 16S ribosomal RNA". Lineage: Eukaryota; Metazoa; Arthropoda; Insecta; Orthoptera; Acrididae. The record is from RNAcentral.